Elephantulus edwardii (Cape elephant shrew) is the source of this 82-nucleotide non-coding RNA. The record is from the annotation of a RefSeq genome assembly. NCBI's taxonomy places the organism in Eukaryota, Metazoa, Chordata, Mammalia, Macroscelidea, Macroscelididae.
GCUGUGAUGGCUGAAUGGUUAAGGUGUUGGACUCGAAAUCCAAUGGGGUUUUCCCGCGCAGGUUUAAAUCCUGCUCACAGCG